This 680-nucleotide ribosomal RNA is filed under the name Faecalibacterium prausnitzii. RNAcentral's name for it is "bacterial SSU rRNA". It matches the Rfam family "Bacterial small subunit ribosomal RNA", at positions 437 to 1143 of the family's 1533-position model. Lineage: Bacteria; Bacillati; Bacillota; Clostridia; Eubacteriales; Oscillospiraceae. The record is from RNAcentral.
UGUUGAGGAAGAUAAUGACGGUACUCAACAAGGAAGUGACGGCUAACUACGUGCCAGCAGCCGCGGUAAAACGUAGGUCACAAGCGUUGUCCGGAAUUACUGGGUGUAAAGGGAGCGCAGGCGGGAGAACAAGUUGGAAGUGAAAUCCAUGGGCUCAACCCAUGAACUGCUUUCAAAACUGUUUUUCUUGAGUAGUGCAGAGGUAGGCGGAAUUCCCGGUGUAGCGGUGGAAUGCGUAGAUAUCGGGAGGAACACCAGUGGCGAAGGCGGCCUACUGGGCACCAACUGACGCUGAGGCUCGAAAGUGUGGGUAGCAAACAGGAUUAGAUACCCUGGUAGUCCACACCGUAAACGAUGAUUACUAGGUGUUGGAGGAUUGACCCCUUCAGUGCCGCAGUUAACACAAUAAGUAAUCCACCUGGGGAGUACGACCGCAAGGUUGAAACUCAAAGGAAUUGACGGGGGCCCGCACAAGCAGUGGAGUAUGUGGUUUAAUUCGACGCAACGCGAAGAACCUUACCAAGUCUUGACAUCCCUUGACGAUGCUGGAAACAGUAUUUCUCUUCGGAGCAAGGAGACAGGUGGUGCAUGGUUGUCGUCAGCUCGUGUCGUGAGAUGUUGGGUUAAGUCCCGCMACGAGCGCAACCCUUAUGGUCAGGUACUACGCAAGAGGACUCUGG